AUUGGACGCUGGCGGCAGGCCUAACACAUGCAAGUCGAACGGUAACAGGAAGCAGCUUGCUGCUUUGCUGACGAGUGGCGGACGGGUGAGUAAUGUCUGGGAAACUGCCCGAUGGAGGGGGAUAACUACUGGAAACGGUAGCUAAUACCGCAUAACGUCGCAAGACCAAAGAGGGGGACCUUAGGGCCUCUUGCCAUCGGAUGUGCCCAGAUGGGAUUAGCUAGUAGGUGGGGUAACGGCUCACCUAGGCGACGAUCCCUAGCUGGUCUGAGAGGAUGACCAGCCACACUGGAACUGAGACACGGUCCAGACUCCUACGGGAGGCAGCAGUGGGGAAUAUUGCACAAUGGGCGCAAGCCUGAUGCAGCCAUGCCGCGUGUAUGAAGAAGGCCUUCGGGUUGUAAAGUACUUUCAGCGGGGAGGAAGGGAGUAAAGUUAAUACCUUUGCUCAUUGACGUUACCCGCAGAAGAAGCACCGGCUAACUCCGUG
RNAcentral lists this ribosomal RNA (490 nucleotides) under uncultured bacterium. RNAcentral's name for it is "partial 16S ribosomal RNA". It matches the Rfam family "Bacterial small subunit ribosomal RNA", at positions 30 to 507 of the family's 1533-position model. The record is from RNAcentral.